GACGAACGCUGGCGGUGUGCUUAACACAUGCAAGUCGAACGGUAAGGCCCUUUCGGGGGUCGACGGGGGGCGUAAGGGGGGGUAACAUGUGAGUAACCUGCCCACAUCUCUGCGAUAUCAGGCGGAAACGGUUGCAAGUGCUGGUUAUGAGCUUUCUUGGCAGUUUGUGGGUUGGAGAGUUUUGUUUGGUUGGUGAUGGGGUGGCGGCCUAUCGGCUUGUUGGUGAGGUAGUGGCUCACCAAGGCUUCGACGGGUAGCCGGCCUGAUAGCGCGACCGGCCACAGUGGGACUGAGAUCCGGCCCAAGCUCCGACGGGUGGCAGAAGUGGGGAAUAUUGCUCAAGGAACGGAGGUCUGAUGCAGAAACGCCGCGUGCGGGAUGGCGGCCUUCGGGUUAUAGACGGAUUUCAAUUGUGACGAAGCUUUUUGUGACGGUAGCAGUAGAAGAAGCACCGGCUAACUACGUG
This 466-nucleotide ribosomal RNA is filed under the name uncultured bacterium. RNAcentral describes it as "partial 16S ribosomal RNA". It matches the Rfam family "Bacterial small subunit ribosomal RNA", at positions 28 to 507 of the family's 1533-position model. The record is from RNAcentral.